CCUACGGGUGGCAGCAGUAGGGAAUAUUGCUCAAUGGGGGAAACCCUGAAGCAGCAACGCCGCGUGGAGGAUGAAGGUUUUCGGAUUGUAAACUCCUUUUGUUAGAGAAGAUAAUGACGGUAUCUAACGAAUAAGCACCGGCUAAAUCCGUGCCAGCAGCCGCGGUAAUACGGAGGUUGCACGCGUUCCUCGGAAUCACUGGGCGUAAAGAGCGCGGAGGCGGGAUAGCAAGUCAGAUGUGAAAUCCUAUGGCUUAACCAUAGAACUGCAUUUGAAACUGUUAUUCUAGAGUAUGGGAGAGGUAGGUGGAAUUCUUGGUGUAGGGGUAAAAUGCGUAGAGAUCAAGAGGAAUACUCAUGGCGAAGGCGACCUGCUAGAACAUAACUGACGCUGAUGCGCGAAAGCGUGGGGAGCAAACAGGAUUAGAUACCCCUGUAGUC
Molecule: ribosomal RNA, 440 nt
Filed under: uncultured bacterium
Lineage: Bacteria
Description: partial 16S ribosomal RNA
Rfam family: Bacterial small subunit ribosomal RNA
Source: RNAcentral